AAAGAUCCGAGGACCCUUUUGAAGACCACACUCGGAUUCAACAAACAACAACAAGAACACAAUGUAUUGAUGUGUUUAUCACCUAAAAACAGCGAACAACAAACUAUGUUAACAACAACAAGAUGAAGAACAACAACAAUGGAACAAGAACAACAAGUCACGGAUUUGAAUUGCAAGAACACAAACAAACGAUUACAACAUAAACAAAAUGGAUAGAUAGUUAGACCUAGGUUGGUAUAAUCUUAAGAAUCCAAGAAUAUGGUAAUCUUGGACCCUUAACACUACACAAAACGGUUAACCUAAC
Molecule: long non-coding RNA, 304 nt
Filed under: Capsicum annuum
Lineage: Eukaryota; Viridiplantae; Streptophyta; Magnoliopsida; Solanales; Solanaceae
Description: long non-coding RNA (CANN_LNC007339)
Source: RNAcentral